This is a non-coding RNA of Trichuris suis (pig whipworm), 46 nucleotides long. NCBI's taxonomy places the organism in Eukaryota, Metazoa, Nematoda, Enoplea, Trichinellida, Trichuridae. The record is from Rfam.
CAAACGGCCCUUUUCAGGGCCACCAAAUGCCUUUUACUGCAACAUG